UAGGGAAUAUUGCACAAUGGGGGAAACCCUGAUGCAGCCAUGCCGCGUGUGUGAAGAAGGCCCUAGGGUUGUAAAGCACUUUCAGUAAGGAAGAAAAAGCAGGGUUAAUACCCCUGUCUUAUGACAUUACUUACAGAAGAAGCACCGGCUAACUCCGUGCCAGCAGCCGCGGUAAUACGGAGGGUGCGAACGUUAAUCGGAAUUACUGGGCGUAAAGCGCGCGUAGGCGGUUUAUUAAGUGGGAUGUGAAAGCCCCGGGCUUAACCUGGGAACUGCAUUCCAAACUGACAAACUAGAGUACGAGAGAGGGGGGUAGAAUUCAGAGUGUAGCGGUGAAAUGCGUAGAUAUUCUGAGGAAUACCAGUGGCGAAGGCGGCCCCCUGGCUUGAUACUGACGCUGAGGUGCGAAAGCGUGGGGAGCAAACAGGAUUAGAUACCCCCGUAGUCC
Molecule: ribosomal RNA, 448 nt
Filed under: uncultured prokaryote
Description: bacterial SSU rRNA
Rfam family: Bacterial small subunit ribosomal RNA
Source: RNAcentral